RNAcentral lists this long non-coding RNA (445 nucleotides) under Sinocyclocheilus grahami. RNAcentral describes it as "lncRNA (ENSSGRG00000041004.1)". Lineage: Eukaryota; Metazoa; Chordata; Actinopteri; Cypriniformes; Cyprinidae. The record is from RNAcentral.
UUUAGGUUCCUUCAACUCCUCUGAUUAGCUCUUAUUGUGCAUGCCAGCGGGUCGCUGGUUCUAAUCAGGUGGUCUUUGGUCAGCUCUGCGUCUGAGACUAAUCGAGCUGUGUUUUAACCCCUCCCUAUCGGCACUUCAAUGUCUGCACCACCAAACUGGCGUGUUUGUGAGUCAUUAUCAGACGGGUGAGGGCAGAAGAACAGAAGGCACACAGACAUCAGAGCACCAGGAGGAACAGCAUGUGACCCAGUCCUCACAGUCAGGCAGUGAAAGGCGAAUCUUGGAAUCACGAGGGGAGGAAAAACGAGUGUAAGUCCUGAUGAACUGAACUGCUCAAGCUGAACAAAUGGAAACACUCAGAGCCCUGGGAAGUGAGGUGUCUAGAGACGACUAAAAUAGGUGCACCUGGAGUCCAAAUUUCACUUGGUGCUACAAUGAAUAAAAC